UGCUACUGCAGAAGCACAGAAGGAGUGCUCGUUUGGCAGCAAGGCAGUUGGGAGGAAGAAAAUGGGAAAGACUGUAUGGGCUGCCAGGAUGAGGGAAGAAAAGAAAGCUGAAAAUAAACGGAGCUUGGUAGAAUGUCAAAAAGAAAACACACAAAGAAUCGCUUGGAUCAUCAUCAUAUACAAAGAAUGGCCUGGAACAUCAUCAAACUUUGUUGCUUGAACAAAAGAAUGUCAAAAAGAAAACACACAAAGAAUCGCUUGGAUCA
Molecule: long non-coding RNA, 266 nt
Organism: Sphaerodactylus townsendi
Lineage: Eukaryota; Metazoa; Chordata; Lepidosauria; Squamata; Sphaerodactylidae
Exons: 3
Source: RefSeq, a predicted model, not a curated record